RNAcentral lists this ribosomal RNA (484 nucleotides) under uncultured bacterium. Its description in RNAcentral is "partial 16S ribosomal RNA". It matches the Rfam family "Bacterial small subunit ribosomal RNA", at positions 30 to 507 of the family's 1533-position model. The record is from RNAcentral.
AUUGAACGCUGGCGGCAUGCUUUACACAUGCAAGUCGAACGGCAGCGCGGGCUUCGGCCUGGCGGCGCGUGGCGAACGGGUGUGUAAUGCAUCUGAACGUGCCCCGUAUUUGGGGAUAGCCCAGCUAAAGCCGGAUUAAUACCGCAUCCGACCUGAUGUUGAAAGCUGGGGACCGAAAGGCCUCUCGCUCUUUGAUCUGCCGAUGUCGGAUUAGCUAGUUGGUUGGGUAAAGGCUUACCAAGGCGACGAUCCGUAGCUGGUCUGAGAGGACGACCAGCCACACUGGGACUGAGACACGGCCCAGACUCCUACGGGAGGCAGCAGUGGGGAAUGUUGGACAAUGGGGGCAAACAUGAUACAGCAAGGCCGCGUGCGGGAAGAAGGAGUUCGGGUUGUAAAACGGUGUUGUUAGGGAAGAAAAAAUAUGGGCUAAUACCAAGGGGGGAUGACGGUACCGGAAGAAUAAGCACCGGCUAACUACGUG